Molecule: ribosomal RNA, 484 nt
Filed under: uncultured bacterium
Lineage: Bacteria
Description: partial 16S ribosomal RNA
Rfam family: Bacterial small subunit ribosomal RNA
Source: RNAcentral
AGUGAACGCUGGCGGCAGGCCUAACACAUGCAAGUCGAGCGGCAGCGGGUCCUUCGGGAUGCCGGCGAGCGGCGGACGGGUGAGGAAUGCAUCGGAAUCUGCCCUGUCGUGGGGGAUAACCUAGGGAAACUUAGGCUAAUACCGCAUACGACCCACGGGUGAAAGCGGGGGAUCGCAAGACCUCGCGCGAUAGGAUGAGCCGAUGUCCGAUUAGCUAGUUGGCGGGGUAAAGGCCCACCAAGGCGACGAUCGGUAGCUGGUCUGAGAGGAUGAGCAGCCACACUGGGACUGAGACACGGCCCAGACUCCUACGGGAGGCAGCAGUGGGGAAUAUUGGACAAUGGGCGCAAGCCUGAUCCAGCCAUGCCGCGUGGGUGAAGAAGGCCUUCGGGUUGUAAAGCCCUUUUGUCCGGGAAGAAAUCGUCUGGGCUAAUACCCCGGGCGGAUGACGGUACCGGAAGAAUAAGCACCGGCUAACUUCGUG